GGGAUAACUUCGGGAAACCGUAGCUAAUACCGGAUAAUCCAUUUCCUCUCAUGGGGAAAUGCUGAAAGACGGUUUACGCUGUCACUUAUAGAUGGGCCCGCGGCGCAUUAGCUAGUUGGUGAGGUAACGGCUCACCAAGGCAACGAUGCGUAGCCGACCUGAGAGGGUGAUCGGCCACACUGGGACUGAGACACGGCCCAGACUCCUACGGGAGGCAGCAGUAGGGAAUCUUCCACAAUGGACGAAAGUCUGAUGGAGCAACGCCGCGUGAGCGAUGAAGGCCUUCGGGUCGUAAAGCUCUGUUGUUAGGGAAGAACAAGUACCGGAGUAACUGCCGGUACCAUGACGGUACCUAACCAGAAAGCCACGGCUAACUACGUGCCAGCAGCCGCGGUAAUACGUAUGUGGCAAGCGUUGUCCGGAAUUAUUGGGCGUAAAGCGCGCGCAGGCGGUCCUUUAAGUCUGAUGUGAAAGCCCACGGCUCAACCGUGGAGGGUCAUUGGAAACUGGGGGACUUGAGUGCAGAAGAGGAAAGCGGAAUUCCACGUGUAGCGGUGAAAUGCGUAGAGAUGUGGAGGAACACCAGUGGCGAAUGCGGCUUUCUGGUCUGUAACUGACGCUGAGCGCGAAAGCGUGGGGAGCAAACAGGAUUA
Molecule: ribosomal RNA, 653 nt
Filed under: uncultured bacterium
Lineage: Bacteria
Description: bacterial SSU rRNA
Rfam family: Bacterial small subunit ribosomal RNA
Source: RNAcentral